This is a long non-coding RNA of Danio aesculapii, 586 nucleotides long. RefSeq lists it as uncharacterized. The record is from RefSeq and is a predicted model, not a curated record. NCBI's taxonomy places the organism in Eukaryota, Metazoa, Chordata, Actinopteri, Cypriniformes, Danionidae. The transcript is spliced from 4 exons.
UCUAGAACAUGCCCGUGUUUGUGUACGUCACUCUCGAGCCACGCCCACUAAUGCCAGACUGAGCUAUCUUCAGAAGCGCAAGGAACUACUACUACAGUCAGUCUUUUGAUAGCUAUUUUUUUACAGUCUAUGAUUGAUAGGUGUUGAGUUUUCCGUAUUUUAGAUGACACAGACCAGUAAAUGAUUAUAGGCUACUCUUGUGGGGGACCUCCAUGACGAUGAAAAUAAUAAAAAGCAUCUGGGUGUUCUCUAAUGCAGAUAGCUUCUAUUGAUCAUCAAGGGUCUUCAAAGAAAAAGGCAUUCAAGGUUUCCAUGGAGUGGUCGACGCUUUUGGAAUGUCACUCCAGCAGAGGGCGCUGUCGCCCUAGAACUGACGGACUCAAACCAGCGACCUUCUUGCUGUUUUUGCAAUCACAUGAUCGUGUUCUAAAAGAGGACUCAAGGUUUUUGAAACAAAUACUGAGCGCAUCAAAAAACUCCUCCACCUACACUUCCAGGGGGUCAUGGAGUUGGAGGCCAGUCAAGUCGAACAUGAAAUUGUCUAUGCUGAGGCUGGCUUCAACUGGCGAAAAGAUGUCUCCGUGGG